CGCGCAUGGCAGCGCGCCGGGGCCCGGCGCACAACCGCUUCCACCGGUUCCCGCGGGGUCGGCGCGGGCCGUCCUCGGCUCGGUCCUGAGCACGAGCGA
RNAcentral lists this transfer RNA (99 nucleotides) under Nonomuraea spiralis. RNAcentral describes it as "tRNA-Gly". Lineage: Bacteria; Bacillati; Actinomycetota; Actinomycetes; Streptosporangiales; Streptosporangiaceae. The record is from RNAcentral.